Molecule: ribosomal RNA, 466 nt
Filed under: Arthrobacter sp.
Lineage: Bacteria; Bacillati; Actinomycetota; Actinomycetes; Micrococcales; Micrococcaceae
Description: bacterial SSU rRNA
Rfam family: Bacterial small subunit ribosomal RNA
Source: RNAcentral
CGGCGUGUCUUAACACAUGCAAGUCGAACGAUGUAUCCCAGCUUGCUGGGGGAUUAGUGGCGAACGGGUGAGUAACACGUGAGUAACCUGCCCUUGACUCUGGGAUAAGCCUGGGAAACCGGGUCUAAUACUGGAUAUGACCUUCUGGCGCAUGCCAUGUUGGUGGAAAGCUUUAUUGCGGUUUUGGAUGGACUCGCGGCCUAUCAGCUUGUUGGUGGGGUAAUGGCCUACCAAGGCGACGACGGGUAGCCGGCCUGAGAGGGUGGACGGCCACACUGGGACUGAGACACGGCCCAGACUCCUACGGGAGGCAGCAGUGGGGAAUAUUGCACAAUGGGCGCAAGCCUGAUGCAGCGACGCCGCGUGGGGGAUGAAGGCCUUCGGGUUGUAAACCUCUUUCAGUAGGGAAGAAGCGAAAGUGACGGUACCUGCAGAAGAAGCGCCGGCUAACUACGUGCCAGCACCG